CGAAAUUUUGUGAAAGAUGGGUUGAAAGCACUGAUUCUUUUGAUGUGGGAACGCAUAGAAUUUGUCAAAUAAAGAAGGCGUGAUGUCUUGAAAAAACAUGGUGCUGAGACUAGAACAUAGCGUCGUUUUCGAAGAUAUGGCAAAACAGUUGCUCAUAUGACUCGAUGGAAAAAUGAGGUUAUGGCGUUUUCUUCGCCACUUUAAGAAAGACGUAUUUUAUGCUCGGGCUGAUAUAACUCCUUGAUUUAUUGACUAUAUUUAUAUUGUAUGGUUAUGGAGUUGUGUGCUCCAAUAAAAAGUUGAUCAAAGAAA
Molecule: long non-coding RNA, 312 nt
Organism: Drosophila grimshawi
Lineage: Eukaryota; Metazoa; Arthropoda; Insecta; Diptera; Drosophilidae
Exons: 5
Source: RefSeq, a predicted model, not a curated record